This 567-nucleotide ribosomal RNA is filed under the name uncultured bacterium. RNAcentral's name for it is "bacterial SSU rRNA". It matches the Rfam family "Bacterial small subunit ribosomal RNA", at positions 338 to 916 of the family's 1533-position model. The record is from RNAcentral.
CCUACGGGAGGCAGCAGUGGGGAAUAUUGGGCAAUGGAGGAAACUCUGACCCAGCGACGCCGCGUGCGGGAUGAAGGCCUUCGGGUUGUAAACCGCUUUCAGUAGGGAAGAAGCGAAAGUGACGGUACCUACAAAAGAAGCACCGGCUAACUAUGUGCCAGCAGCCGCGGUAAUACAUAGGGUGCAAGCGUUGUCCGGAAUUAUUGGGCGUAAAGAGCUCGUAGGUCGUUUGUUACGUCGGAUGUGAAAACCUGAGGCUCAACCUCAGGCCUGCAUUCGAUACGGGCAAACUAGAGUUUGGUAGGGGAGACUGGAAUUCCUGGUGUAGCGGUGGAAUGCGCAGAUAUCAGGAGGAACACCAAUGGCGAAGGCAGGUCUCUGGGCCAAUACUGACACUGAGGAGCGAAAGUCUGGGGAGCGAACAGGAUUAGAUACCCUGGUAGUCCAGACCGUAAACGGUGGGCACUAGUUGUGGGAACCUUCCACGGUUUCUGCGACGCAGCUAACGCAUUAAGUGCCCCGCCUGGGGAGUACGAUCGCAAGNUUAAAACUCAAAGGAAUUGACGG